RNAcentral lists this transfer RNA (85 nucleotides) under Felis catus (domestic cat). It matches the Rfam family "tRNA". From Rfam's summary of the family: Transfer RNA (tRNA) molecules are approximately 80 nucleotides in length. Their secondary structure includes four short double-helical elements and three loops (D, anti-codon, and T loops). The record is from Rfam by way of RNAcentral. Lineage: Eukaryota; Metazoa; Chordata; Mammalia; Carnivora; Felidae.
GCCUGGGUGGCUCAGUUGGUUAAGCGUCUGACUUUGGCUCAGGUCAUGAUCUUGAAGUUUGUGAGUUCAAGCCCCACAUUGGGCU